GACAUCGUGUCCGAGUGGUUAAGGAGUUGGACUUGAAAUCCAAUGGGCUCAGCCCGCGCAGGUUCGAAUCCUGCCGAUGUCG
Molecule: non-coding RNA, 82 nt
Organism: Perkinsus marinus ATCC 50983
Lineage: Eukaryota; Perkinsozoa; Perkinsida; Perkinsidae
Source: Rfam